RNAcentral lists this ribosomal RNA (491 nucleotides) under uncultured bacterium. Its description in RNAcentral is "partial 16S ribosomal RNA". It matches the Rfam family "Bacterial small subunit ribosomal RNA", at positions 29 to 506 of the family's 1533-position model. The record is from RNAcentral.
AGUGAACGCUGGCGGUAGGCUUAACACAUGCAAGUCGAACGGCAGCACAGUAAGAGCUUGCUCUUACGGGUGGCGAGUGGCGGACGGGUGAGGAAUACAUCGGAAUCUACUUUUUCGUGGGGGAUAACGUAGGGAAACUUACGCUAAUACCGCAUACGACCUACGGGUGAAAGCAGGGGAUCUUCGGACCUUGCGCGAUUGAAUGAGCCGAUGUCGGAUUAGCUAGUUGGCGGGGUAAAGGCCCACCAAGGCGACGAUCCGUAGCUGGUCUGAGAGGAUGAUCAGCCACACUGGAACUGAGACACGGUCCAGACUCCUACGGGAGGCAGCAGUGGGGAAUAUUGGACAAUGGGCGCAAGCCUGAUCCAGCCAUACCGCGUGGGCGAAGAAGGCCUUCGGGUUGUAAAGCCCUUUUGUUGGGAAAGAAAAGCAGCAGGUUAAUACCCCGCUGUUCUGACGGUACCCAAAGAAUAAGCACCGGCUAACUUCGU